ACGCACGCUGGCGGCGUGCUUCACCCCUGCCAGUCGAACGGAAAGGCCCCUUUGGGGGUACUCGAGUGGCGAACGGGUGAGUAACACGUGAGUAACCUGCCCUUGACUUCGGGAUAACUUCAGGCAACUGGGGCUAAUACCGGAUAGGAAUCCUUGCUGCAUGGUGGGGGUUGGAAAGCUUCGGCGGUUUUGGAUGGACUCGCGGCUUAUCAGCUUGUUGGUGGGGUAGUGGCUUACCAAGGCUUUGACGGGUAGCCGGCCUGAGAGGGCGACCGGCCACAUUGGGACUGAGAUACGGCCCAGACUCCUACGGGAGGCAGCAGUGGGGAAUAUUGCACAAUGGGCGGAAGCCUGAUGCAGCAACGCCGCGUGCGGGAUGACGGCCUUCGGGUUGUAAACCGCUUUCAGCAGGGGCGAAGCUUGUGGUGACGGUACCUGCAGAAGAAGCACCGGCUAACUACGUG
RNAcentral lists this ribosomal RNA (464 nucleotides) under uncultured bacterium. RNAcentral's name for it is "partial 16S ribosomal RNA". It matches the Rfam family "Bacterial small subunit ribosomal RNA", at positions 29 to 507 of the family's 1533-position model. The record is from RNAcentral.